RNAcentral lists this long non-coding RNA (2758 nucleotides) under Equus caballus (horse). RNAcentral describes it as "lncRNA (ENSECAG00000054313.1)". Lineage: Eukaryota; Metazoa; Chordata; Mammalia; Perissodactyla; Equidae. The record is from RNAcentral.
CCCAAAGCCCCCUGGUACAUAGUUGUAUCUUCUUUGUUGUGGGUCCUUCUAGUUGUGGCAUGUGGGAUGCUGCCUCAGCAUGGUUUGAUGAGCAGUGCCAUGUCUGCGCCCAGGAUUCGAACCAACGAAACACUGGGCCACCUGCAGCGGAGCACGCAAACUUAACCACUCGGCCACGGGGCCAGCCCCUGGUCCCACCUCUUAACGCCAUCACAUUGGGAGUUAGGGUUUCAACACUUUUAAAUUGAGAUACAAUUGACAUAACAUUAUAUUAGUUUCAGGUGUAUGAAGUAAGAAUUCAAUAUAUUUAUAUAUUGUGAAAUGAUCACCACAAUAAGUCUAGUUGACAUCUACCACCUUACCACCUUGAAAAUAUGUACGCACAACGUUAUUCAUCGCAGUGUUGUUUGUGAUUGCAAAUUAUUGGAAAGCAAUUAAACGCCCAUACAAAAGAGAGUGGUUGAAUAAAUUGCGGUACUUCUACACACUAGGGCACUAUGCAGCUAUGCAGAGAAUGAGGAGGGUCUCUACAAACUUACAUGGAAUGAUUAAUGCUGCGGACUGGAUGUCUCUGUCCCCCCAAAUUCACAUGUUGAAAUCCUGUGGAAAGCUGGAAUGCUGGGCCACGCACGAAGGCCCCAUCAGAGGAGACCCCUGGAGUGGGCUGCCCCGACAGGUCACACUCCUCAUGCUCCUCCUCUCCUAAUGCUCCCUGCAGGCUCAGGCUUAUCGUCCUGGGAGAACAAUGUGAACUCCUCUCUAGACCCCAGCUGUCAGCCCGUCCUGCAGGUCUUUAUUUCUCAUGACUCUUAGAACUCGGCCCUCAGCCACCUGCACCAGUGUCCCUGGACGUUUGGAAAUACACUGUUUAGUCCUCCUUCUUUACACACCCACUGCUUUCCCUCAUCAGUCCUCCCACACCCUCCAGUUAAUCCUCCAUUUUCCCUCUGGAGGAACUUUCUAGAACACAGACACCGUCAUGGAACUUCCUUGGCUGAAAGCAUCAGGCAGUGCCUGGAGACUGUGGAACCCAUUUCAAACCCUGGGAUGAGGGCUUUCCCAAGCUGGGCACAGCUCCCUUGCCACCCCCACCUCCUACCUGAGCCCCUUGCGCCCUCAGCUACUCACAGCAGACAGCGGGGCAUCCUUCCUGAUAGCUUUAUGGGAUAUGAGGGAAUCGAAUUAGGUGUACAGAACAAUUUAAAGAAAGCCAACAUCCUUACACCAUAGAACCCACCAAUCCAAGAAGAAAGCAUGACUUACCCAAACCGUUUUUGCGUCAUUUAGUGUUCGGUCGCGUUGUGCGAGUUCUCGCUGGUGGUCUUUGGACCUUGGGCCCAUUUUGGCAGGCCAGGUGCCUAAAGUUCUCUUCUUCUGGUUUUGUGUAUUGCGCCCCUAUGCUGUUUUGUGGAAUCCAGCCUGUUCCUUUCACCUUUACGACAGUCGCCAUCAAAAGUCCCAAGGGGCAGUGGCCUGAGGCCUAUUCUAAUGAGCCCUGUCGUCCACUCGGCAUGCUGCAGCCCUCCACCCAUUUGAAAAUCCAUGAAAUCACAGGUUUUCCGGUAUCCCCUGCCCUGAACCCAAACUUCUGUCUCAAGCUGCUGCUCUGCGUCCUAAUGUGUUAAGGGGUGGCCUCACCAGUGACAUGAUGUGGGCACUGCAAGCCAUCAGGUACUGAAAUGGGAUCCUUGUCCUGCACUUCCUUCUAGAAAGCAACAUUCACAGGCAUAUUUCUAUGUGACAGGAAAUAGUACACUGUCCUUGCAUAGAGUAUGAGGACAUAACCUCCGUAACUGCAGCAUCCAGAGGGAACAUGUUGGAGUUUGUGCUUCCAACCUUGAUUUACAAAAGGCAGGUGACAGAAAAGCCACGACAGCUGUUGAGUGUAGAUUCUAACCUGAAUCGGGGCUCUAACAGAGAGCUAUGACUAACGACUGUGCUCAAAAUGCAUACACUUUUUAACAAAAUUGGGGCCACAUGGCACAGCCUCAUUUGAACAAAUCACGGGCAUCUUCCUCUGUUCUUGGGGAAGGCGGUCUCCAGCAGCAGCCUUGUCCCUGUGUUGGCACUCUACAAUUUGCUCAAAAAGCCCUCUGUUUUUCACGUCACUUUUUUCACUGCUUCAAAAAUAAUUCAUGAACAUCUUUGCACAUAAAGAUUUGAGCCCAUUUGUGGUUGUUUUCUCAUGAUACAGUCCUACCAGAGGAAUUUCCGUUCCGCGCCCCCUAAACCAAAGUUCACGUGAGACUGCGUAAGAAGAGUCAAAAAGGACACAGUCGGUGGAGCCGAGUGGACGAGACACACGUCUGCCUCGCCAGCCCACGCCUGGCUCAGGAGGCCCCAGCAAGGUCUCCGGGGUCACAGGUCAGGGUGUUCUCAGCUCAGUGAGGGGAAGAGCUCAGCAGAUCUGGUUUCCUCCCGGCCUCUUUCCCUUGCUGGCAGACGGCUGUCUUCUCCCUGUCUCUUCGCGUGGUUGUCCCUCUGUGUACCCGCUUGUCUGGUGUCUCUCCCUGUGUGUCCUAACCUCCUCUGCUUAUAAGGACAACAGUCACAUUGAAUUAGGGCCCACCAUAAAGGCCUCAUUUUAAUGUAAUCAUCUCUUUAAAGCCCUUAUCUCCAAAUACGGUCACAUUCUGAGGUACCGAGGGUUGGGGCUUCAACACACGAAUUAUUAGAGUGGGAUGUUAGGUUAUCAAUUUGAGAUCUUCCUUGUUUUUUAAAUACAGAUAGUAUAGCUAUAACUUCCCGUCUAAGUAGU